CUGGUGCUGGUUUGUCCCACAUGGUCCUAGGCUCCUGUAUACUAUAUACAUGCAGCACAGAGCCUGGCCAUGUAGCCAGCGAUUCCAUCUAGGUUUGUGUGAGUUCCCUCUAUGAUAUCUGCACAACGAAAAACUGUCAACCAAUGCAUUUUCACCCCCCAUCUUUCAGUGAUGUGUAACUAUAUUCCUCAGCCCAUGUUUUCUCUAUUUGUAGGUAUAAGAUAAAGAACAGCAAGAGAGAAGGCUAUGGAUGGAAUGUCUUCUCCCUGUGAGCCAAGGCCAGCACAGAGGCUGCAAGAACAAACACGUUCACGAACACUUGGGCUUGGGUUGGAUGACACUCUCUGAAACAGGUGCCCGCCCCAUGCUGCUGAGACUGUGGACUUACAGAAGCUGGACAAAAGAGCACUUGCUCUGGCAUCAGGGUAAUUGCAACCUGCUAAUAGCUUGCUCAGCACUCAGCACUUGUGGUCUAGAUGCUAUCUCGUUAACCUUCCUGGUGUGUGUGAGGCAAGUGCUCCUGAAGAUGCUGCGCCACAAGCAGGUACUCAGUCCUCCUGUGUACCCCAUGCAGAACACCUUCAACUCUGCAGCAAUUUUGCUGGGUUCUAGGUCCUUUUAAAGGAAAUGAUUUGGGUGGCAAAUGCUACAUGUUGCUGUGUUCUGGGUGCAGACAUUUAGAAGUCCCUUAUCGCUAUGUGUAGGGACAUUUGCUUCCUUCUAAUGACACUGAGUAAUAUAUCAAUGCCAACAGCCUGUUUGAUGGAUUGUUCCAUGCUUUGACUUCAUGGGCUGGAGGGAAAAAGCCAGGACCAAACAACACUGUUUGGUUGGCAUUAAUUCAGUUUAUACACUUCCUUAAUACCUGCAAGCAUCAGCAGGUGUCAAGGGAGGUGGGAAGGAAAGAAAGGACCACCGCAGCCCCAGAUAAGCUCUUUGAGCACCCACGUGAUGGACUCUUCUGAUGUCAUAAAGGUCUUUCCAAACCCAUAGGUGUUUUCUGGGCUCCCUGUGCCAUUGGGCAAGGUGUGUGUGCUUUCUGCUGCAGAGGACUGGGCAGAGUGGGAAGGAAUAGAGAGGGAGGAAUUGAAGGAAAGAAGAAAGGGGAGGAGAGCUGGAGAAUCUGUGGAGAGGAGCAGGGGGCUGAGGGUGUGUCUCAGCAUCUACUCUUCCUACUUCAGUAAAAGCCUCUUAUGACCUGAAAAAGGAUAUGCUGAGUUGUAAAAGAAUGCUGCAAAUUCAUAUGUAGUAUCUGCACUCUAGAACUCGUCCUAGAGUUAGGCACAGGGGCACAUACCUAGAAUCCCAGCUAUUCAGGAAGCUGAGGCAGAAGGAUCGCAAGUUCAAGUCCAGCCUAAGCACUUAGCAAGACUUUGUCUAAAAAUAAGAAAUGAGGGUAAACAGAUGUAGCUCCAUGGUAGUGCAUCUCCAGUCUUGGUUCCCAGUGUCACACACACACACACACACACACACACACACACACACACACACACCUGUUUUAUAAAUUUUAGAAGUAAAAGAAAUCCUCAGUUACAAUCUCAGUAAAAUGAAGUAGUGUAUGAAUGAUCAAAUCAAGAAUGGACCUUUUACAACAGUUUUAGGUUUUUUUUCUCAUUGAGUUUAUUGGUACAUUUUAGGUAUACAGUACAGUUACAUUCAUCAUUGGGAUCUUGUACCUUUACAUGACAGGUCUUGGUUCUCAUUUUUUCCCCAUGCCCCUGCCCUCCCUAGUUUUCUUUUAGUGUAUUUACAUCAGUUUCUGAAGUAAUGCAAAAGACUAGCUAACAAUAGCUUUUAUAUAAAAUUGGUUUUGAGGAGAGUAGUUAUUGUCUGAGGUCAGUUAUGAUCUAGAGCCAUAUUUCACAGCUAGUAAAUCAACCUGUAAUACCAUUUGUUUAAGUAGUUCCUUUAGUCCAAGUCUUGGACCCAGGAAUGGGGGCCCCAGGCAGAAGUAAGUCCCUAUCAGGAUGCCUGCUGAACUGCAUAAUGUGUACAGUUGAGUGUUUUGACAUGGACAGAAGGACUGACCAAACCCAAUACCCAUUCUUCCGUUCUUCCAUGGAAAAGUAGGUUCAGAUUAGCAUCAGUCCUACUAAUAAGCACCCUGAAAAUAAUCAGCCACCAUCCCUGAGGCUACAUUUCUCAUUCUGUGUCCUUGUUCUUAACAUGGGCCUAAUCACAAAGCUCUGAUAAAGUCAUGUGUGUUCAACAUGAAUUAUAAACUGGAUGGCAGGGUGACACUGCGGCCUGAUAGUGCUGAAACAGGUAUUUCUAGCUUUAGAAAGAUCAAGCUUAUGGCCUAAUGAAGGUCUGUGGCUGAUUCCUUAUCUAAAUUCCAGUGGCCUCUUUUCCAGCUUAGCAUACAACUGAAAACUUCCAGUAGUCGUUUGUUUAUUUCCAUUGCAUUUCAGUAAGUGAAUAAUAAACUCUUUGAAAGAUGCAUGCUUGUCCAUUCCUGUUCUUUCCAAAGGGACAGACUCUCACCCUCAGGCCAGUCCUCCCUUAAAUCCAGCCACAGUUCUUCCUGCUUUAAUUCCAUUUCUUUUUUCACUUAGAUCUUCAGAAGUCAUGGAGAGCAACUGUGUGUCAUCUCUAAAUCCCUCCAUGAACUUGCAAACAGGAAUGGAGUUCAUCCAUAGGCUUCUCUCUACGCCAAGCUAAACCUCUACUUGUAACGUUCUAUUUUGACUCAGCUUCCCCAAUAGUGAAUUCUUGACUUCCUUUGGCUUCCUCUCCAUUUUCUCUAUUACAUGUUCUGACACAGUGUUAGGAUGUGAUCCAGGGUUAUUUGUCCCUCACAGUUGCAGGUGGCCUGACAGUUACCACCAAGCUCUCUGCAGGGCCAGGUGUGUUGCUCAGUGGUAGAGUGCUUGCCUGCUGUGCACAAACCCUGGGUUCAACCCCCACCGCUAAAAAACACCAAACCCCAGGACACCUCACUGUGCUCUUUAGGGGGUCCCCUCAUAUUGUGAGAUGUCUGCAGUCACGCUAGACAUCUUGUGCAAUACAGCGAUGCCCAGUCUCUGCCCAUGAGUCUCUCCAUCCUAUAAGAAAAGGCUUUGUCAAUGCUGCCCGGACAGCUGUCCUUCGGGCCUCAUUGGCAGGACUUGUGCCCCAGGCCAUGGAAAUGACCGCCCCCCCACAAGGCUUCUGGACCAUUCACCUGCAAUAUCCCAACCGAGUGUGUCAAGGAGAGUUGCUUCCUGAACACAUGGGCUUCAAACAAAGGCAAAUAUCCACCAGCAGAGAUGAAGGGGCAGGUGCAUUGUUGGCUCUUAGGUAGGCAGCCAGCCGUAAGCAAACAGGACAAAAUGAUUGUCCAUAGAGUUCAAAAUAUUCAACUAAUCUAAGAGUUAGCUCCUUCUCUGUGUGUGUGGGACUCUGUGACUGUCUCUUCUGCCCACCACAGGGCAAUAUUGACAUGUUAGGGGCUGUGUCUUCUCUUCACCUCAGUUGCCAACUCCAUAGUGCAAGGACCACACCUUGCUCAUCUUUGUGUACCUGCCACCUCUUGCAGUAUGGGUCCCUCGAGGCACUCAGUAAAUAUCUGUUUUGUGUUUUCUUCACACUGAGUUACAUACCCAGCCCUUUUUAACUUUUAUUUUGAAACAGGGUCUCACUAAAUUGUUCAGGCUGGGCACUAAUUUGAGAUCCUCCUGCCUCAGCCUCCUGGGCUGCUAGGAUUAGAGACAUGUGGUACCACACCC
This is a long non-coding RNA of Fukomys damarensis (Damara mole-rat), 3707 nucleotides long. The record is from Ensembl. Lineage: Eukaryota; Metazoa; Chordata; Mammalia; Rodentia; Bathyergidae.